Molecule: ribosomal RNA, 417 nt
Filed under: bacterium Fw70s-12
Lineage: Bacteria
Description: bacterial SSU rRNA
Rfam family: Bacterial small subunit ribosomal RNA
Source: RNAcentral
AACGAACGCUGGCGGCAUGCCUAACACAUGCAAGUCGAACGAGACCUUCGGGUCUAGUGGCGCACGGGUGCGUAACGCGUGGGAAUCUGCCCUUGGGUCCGGAAUAACAGUGAGAAAUUACUGCUAAUACCGGAUGAUGUCUUCGGACCAAAGAUUUAUCGCCCAGGGAUGAGCCCGCGUAAGAUUAGCUAGUUGGUGGGGUAAAGGCCUACCAAGGCGACGAUCUUUAGCUGGUCUGAGAGGAUGAUCAGCCACACUGGGACUGAGACACGGCCCAGACUCCUACGGGAGGCAGCAGUGGGGAAUAUUGGACAAUGGGCGAAAGCCUGAUCCAGCAAUGCCGCGUGAGUGAUGAAGGCCUUAGGGUUGUAAAGCUCUUUUACCCGGGAGAUAAUGACAGUACCGGGAGAAUAAGCC